GUCUACAGCCAUACCACCCUGAACACACCUGAUCUCGUCUGAUCUCGGAAGCUAAGCAGGGUCGGGCCUGGUUAGUACUUGGAUGAGAGAGGCAUAAAGAAAGAUAGACACCUGAAAACA
This is a ribosomal RNA of Erinaceus europaeus (western European hedgehog), 120 nucleotides long. Lineage: Eukaryota; Metazoa; Chordata; Mammalia; Eulipotyphla; Erinaceidae. The record is from Ensembl.